CCUACGGGAGGCAGCAGUAGGGAAUAUUGGACAAUGGGUGCGAGCCUGAUCCAGCCAUGCCGCGUGCAGGAAGAAGGCCUUCUGGGUUGUAAACUGCUUUUGCCGGGGGAUAAAAGACCCAUGCGUGGGGAAUUGAAGGUACCCGGUGAAUAAGCCACGGCUAACUACGUGCCAGCAGCCGCGGUAAUACGUAGGAGGCGAGCGUUGUCCGGAUUUAUUGGGUUUAAAGGGUGCGUAGGCGGCCCCGUAAGUCAGUGGUGAAAUACGGCAGCUCAACUGUCGAGGUGCCAUUGAUACUGCGGGGCUUGAGUACAGUCGAGGUAGGCGGAAUUGACGGUGUAGCGGUGAAAUGCUUAGAUAUCGUCAAGAACACCGAUAGCGAAGGCAGCUUGCUAGGCUGUAACUGACGCUGAGGCACGAAAGUGCGGGGAUCAAACAGGAUUAGAUACCCUGGUAGUCCGCACAGUAAACGAUGGUCACUCGGUGUUGGCGGUACACGGCCAGCGCCUUAGCGAAAGCGUUAAGUGACCCACCUGGGGAGUACGCCCGCAAGGGUGAACUCAAAUGAAUUGACGG
RNAcentral lists this ribosomal RNA (576 nucleotides) under uncultured bacterium. Its description in RNAcentral is "bacterial SSU rRNA". It matches the Rfam family "Bacterial small subunit ribosomal RNA", at positions 338 to 916 of the family's 1533-position model. The record is from RNAcentral.